GACCUCUUAGCUCAGUGGUAGAGCGUGUGAUUCCAGCUUAUACAAGCAACUCAGUCGAUUCCACAAGGUCAUCCGUUCAACUCGGGUAGGGGUCA
Non-coding RNA from Ceratobasidium sp. 370, 95 nucleotides. The record is from the annotation of a GenBank genome assembly. Lineage: Eukaryota; Fungi; Basidiomycota; Agaricomycetes; Cantharellales; Ceratobasidiaceae.